This 503-nucleotide ribosomal RNA is filed under the name Aureobasidium pullulans. RNAcentral describes it as "eukaryotic LSU rRNA". The stretch from base 186 to 339 matches the Rfam family "5.8S ribosomal RNA". Lineage: Eukaryota; Fungi; Ascomycota; Dothideomycetes; Dothideales; Saccotheciaceae. The record is from RNAcentral.
CAUUAAAGAGUAAGGGUGCUCAGCGCCCGACCUCCAACCCUUUGUUGUUAAAACUACCUUGUUGCUUUGGCGGGACCGCUCGGUCUCGAGCCGCUGGGGAUUCGUCCCAGGCGAGCGCCCGCCAGAGUUAAACCAAACUCUUGUUAUUUAACCGGUCGUCUGAGUUAAAAUUUUGAAUAAAUCAAAACUUUCAACAACGGAUCUCUUGGUUCUCGCAUCGAUGAAGAACGCAGCGAAAUGCGAUAAGUAAUGUGAAUUGCAGAAUUCAGUGAAUCAUCGAAUCUUUGAACGCACAUUGCGCCCCUUGGUAUUCCGAGGGGCAUGCCUGUUCGAGCGUCAUUACACCACUCAAGCUAUGCUUGGUAUUGGGCGUCGUCCUUAGUUGGGCGCGCCUUAAAGACCUCGGCGAGGCCACUCCGGCUUUAGGCGUAGUAGAAUUUAUUCGAACGUCUGUCAAAGGAGAGGAACUCUGCCGACUGAAACCUUUAUUUUUCUAGGUUGAC